This 301-nucleotide ribosomal RNA is filed under the name uncultured bacterium. Its description in RNAcentral is "partial 16S ribosomal RNA". It matches the Rfam family "Bacterial small subunit ribosomal RNA", at positions 509 to 807 of the family's 1533-position model. The record is from RNAcentral.
CAGUCGCCGCGGGAAUACGAAGGGGGCUAGCGUUGCUCGGAAUGACUGGGCGUAAAGGGCGCGUAGGCGGAUUGUUUAGUUAGGCGUGAAAUUCCUGGGCUUAACCUGGGGACUGCGCUUAAUACAGGCAGUCUAGAGUGAGGAAGAGGGUUGUGGAAUUCCCAGUGUAGAGGUGAAAUUCGUAGAUAUUGGGAAGAACACCGGUGGCGAAGGCGGCAACCUGGUCCUUGACUGACGCUGAGGCGCGAAAGCGUGGGGAGCAAACAGGAUUAGAUACCCGAGUAGUCCCUGUCUCUUAUAC